Mizuhopecten yessoensis (Yesso scallop) is the source of this 393-nucleotide long non-coding RNA. RefSeq lists it as uncharacterized. The record is from RefSeq and is a predicted model, not a curated record. Lineage: Eukaryota; Metazoa; Mollusca; Bivalvia; Pectinida; Pectinidae. The transcript has 3 exons.
GUAAAAUGUGAAAAUUUGACCUACUUUUUCUUCUAGUUUCACUUCCUGUUUGGCGGAAGUGUUUAUGAAAGUCCAUAGUCGCAGAUGACAACAUUCUGUCAACGUCGGGGGGAAAGGUUGUCCAGAUGAUGGAGGUGCUGCCCUGAGACCCCACCAUGCCACCCAUUGUGGUUGUGCCUGACCUUGACAUUGUGUCAGAGGUCAGUGCAGAUGAACGUGUGGAAAUUGACUUUCUGAUGCCCAACGGAAUCUUCAUUCCUCUGAAAGUGAACUUUUACGACUCGCUUGACAUAGUGAAAAGGAGACUAUGGAAAGAAGCAGAGGGCUACCCCCUUUUCACGGCCGUAGGCCAGCAUCAAUCGUAUUCCUUUAUCUUCAUUAACAGUAUGGGAC